This is a long non-coding RNA of Nymphaea colorata (pocket water lily), 813 nucleotides long. RefSeq lists it as uncharacterized. The transcript is spliced from 3 exons. The record is from RefSeq and is a predicted model, not a curated record. NCBI's taxonomy places the organism in Eukaryota, Viridiplantae, Streptophyta, Magnoliopsida, Nymphaeales, Nymphaeaceae.
GGGAAAAAGGAAGAUGUGAAGGGGAGAUCCUCGGAAAGGUAUCAUCCAAAAAACAGAGAGAAAUAGAAAGCAGUAGACCGCUAGAGGUUUGAACCGACUCUCUCUCCUCUCUCUUUCUCUUCCUUCUCCGGGAAGAAUAUAAGAUUGCUUAGCGUAGACGUAUGUUAUAUUACUCGGCCAGGGAUUCUUAUUCGUGAGGGAACUAGGGAGGGAGCUCUGGUUUGCCGCUUUGACAGAGAAACUUCCUUCCCCUUUCUCUUCUCUCCUUCUCUGUUUCUCUAUCUCCUCUGUCUGCAAUCUAUAAAAGGAGACAGUCUUCUCCUUCCCUCUCUUAUCAGGGAAAUCGCUGGGCUUUGUUUGUGUUUCGCCUCUUUGCUGCCUUCCUUUUGUGACAGAGAGAAGAACAACAGAAGAAGAGGAGAACCAAGCGAUCCAUCAUGUCGGACCCCAAAUACGCCUAUCCCUACCCUGCCCAAGGGUACUACCAGGGGCCGCCUGUCAUGGCGCCUCCCCAGUAUGCAGCGCCGCCUCCGCAGAGGAACGUGGGGUUCCUUGAAGGAUGCCUGGCGGCUCUCUGUUGCUGCUGUUUGAUCGACGAGUGCUGCUGCGAUCCUUCCGUCAUAUGCCUCUGGUGAUUGCGUCGGACUUGGCGGAGGCCGUGGCCAUUCCUACAUCCUCUUCUGUUUCUAUUUUUUCUUUUAGUUCCGCUUCUCCCCAGAUCUUUCUUCUUCUUCUUCUUCUCGUGCUCCUGUAUCCACCUGGUUUGUGAUGUCUCCUGAACUGUGUGGUAUAUAAUAUAACUAACUUCAUUUA